Arabidopsis thaliana (thale cress) is the source of this 206-nucleotide long non-coding RNA. RefSeq annotates it as other RNA. NCBI's taxonomy places the organism in Eukaryota, Viridiplantae, Streptophyta, Magnoliopsida, Brassicales, Brassicaceae. The record is from RefSeq. The transcript has a single exon.
GCUAGCUUCUCUCCUUCACUGUUCUCUUCCCUUAUCAGAUUUUGAUGCGAAGAAGAAAAAGACGAAACUUUUAGUGGGUUUCGCUUGAGAGCUUACCAGAAAGUAAGGAUCGUGGCGAUUUUAGCGAUCGGAUUUAUGAGAGUGGGAGAUAUAGUAGAAAAGGGAUUAUGGAAACCCUAGUUUGGGUUUCUCUUUGAAUUCAAAGA